GAAUGUAACCAAUGUGGUGAAACUUUUAACAGACCUUCAAAGGUUAUUCAACAUCAGAGCAUGCACAGUGGACUGAAGCCAUACAAAUGUGAUGUAUGUCAAAAGGCCUUUAGGUUUCUCUCAUCCCUCUCUAUACAUCAGAGAUUUCAUGUUGGCAAGAAGCCCUUUUCCUGUAACUUUUGUGGAAAAACCUUUCACCGUUUCUCAGAAAAAACUCAACAUCUAUUAAUUCAUACUAGAAAGAAAUAUUAUACAUGUAAUUAUUGCAAAAAGGAAUUCAAUCCGUACUCCAAAUUUAUUCUACAUCAAAGAACUCAUACAGGAGAGAAACCCCACAAGUGUGAUGUUUGUGAGAAAUCCUUUAAAAGCAUCUCAAAUCUUAAUAAACAUCAGAAAACUCAUACUGGAGAGAAGCCCUUUUCAUGUAAUGAAUGUAAAAAAACCUUUGCCCAGCGCACGGAUCUUGCUCGCCACCAACAAAUCCAUACCGGAAAGAAGUCUUUUAUUUGCAGUAGUUGUAAAAAGACCUUUGUCCGUCUGUCAGAUCUAACACAACAUAAAGGAACUCAUACGGGAGAGAGACCUUACCAAUGUACGACUUGUGAAAAAGCCUUUAAAUAUCGGUCAAACUUUACUAAACAUCAGAAAACUCAUUCUAUAGGGAGGCCCUUUGCAUGUAAUGAAUGUGGAAAGACCUAUCGCCUUAACUGGGAACUUAACCAACAUAAAAAAAUUCAUACUGGAGAGAAACCCUAUGAAUGUGGUGAAUGUGGAAAGCGUUUUAACAAUAAUUCAAAUCUUAAUAAACACAAGAAAAUCCAUACAGGAGAGAAACACUUUGUAUGUAAUCAAUGUGGAAAAGCUUUUAGCUUAAACUCAAAGCUUUCUCGACAUCAGAGAACUCACAGAGAGAAGCCCUUUCCAUGUAAUGAAUGUAAGAAAGCCUUUGCCCAGCGCAUGGAUCUUGCUCGCCACCAACAAAUCCAUACUGGAAGGAAACCUUUUAUUUGCAGUAGUUGUAAAAAAACCUUUGUCCGUCUGUCAGAUCUAACACAACAUAAAGGAACUCAUACAGGAGAGAGACCUUACCAAUGUACAACUUGUGAAAAAGCCUUUAAAUAUCAGUCAAACUUUACUAAACAUCAGAAAACCCAUUCUAUAGGGAGGCCCUUUACAUGUAAUGAAUGUGGAAAGACCUUUCGCCUUAACUGGAAACUUAAUCAACAUAAAAAAAUUCAUACUGGAGAGAAACCCUAUGAAUGUGGUGAAUGUGGAAAAUGUUUUAACAAUAAUUCAAAUCUUAGUAAACACAAGAAAAUCCAUACAGGA
This 1329-nucleotide long non-coding RNA is filed under the name Homo sapiens (human). Its description in RNAcentral is "non-protein coding lnc-SLC2A10-6:2". Lineage: Eukaryota; Metazoa; Chordata; Mammalia; Primates; Hominidae. The record is from RNAcentral.